RNAcentral lists this ribosomal RNA (289 nucleotides) under uncultured bacterium. Its description in RNAcentral is "partial 16S ribosomal RNA". It matches the Rfam family "Bacterial small subunit ribosomal RNA", at positions 333 to 619 of the family's 1533-position model. The record is from RNAcentral.
UUUUACCUACGGGGGGCAGCAGUGAGGAAUAUUGGUCAAUGGGCGCGAGCCUGAACCAGCCAAGUCGCGUGAGGGAAGACGGUCCUAUGGAUUGUAAACCUCUUUUGUCGGGGAGCAAAAGACGCCACGCGUGGCGUUCCGAGAGUACCCGAAGAAAAAGCAUCGGCUAACUCCGUGCCAGCAGCCGCGGUAAUACGGAGGAUGCGAGCGUUAUCCGGAUUUAUUGGGUUUAAAGGGGGCGCAGGCGGAAGAUCAAGUCAGCGGUAAAAUUGAGAAGCUGAACCUCUUC